Molecule: ribosomal RNA, 279 nt
Filed under: uncultured bacterium
Lineage: Bacteria
Description: partial 16S ribosomal RNA
Rfam family: Bacterial small subunit ribosomal RNA
Source: RNAcentral
UGCCAGCCGCCGCGGUAAUACGGAGGGUGCAAGCGUUGCUCGGAAUCACUGGGCGUAAAGCGCACGCAGGCGGGUCGUUAAGUCGGUUGUGAAAGCCCGGGGCUCAACCCCGGAACUGCAUCCGAAACUGGCGACCUUGAAUACGGGAGAGGAGAGCGGAAUUCCUGGUGUAGAGGUGAAAUUCGUAGAUAUCAGGAGGAACACCCGUGGCGAAAGCGGCUCUCUGGCCCGAUAUUGACGCUCAUGUGCGAAAGCGUGGGGAGCAAACAGGAUUAGAUA